GGGCCCGCACAAGCGGUGGAGCAUGUGGUUUAAUUCGAUGAUACGCGAGGAACCUUACCAGGGCUUAAAUGUAAGUUGCAUUAGUUAGAGAUAGCUAUUUCUUCGGACCACUUACAAGGUGCUGCAUGGUUGUCGUCAGCUCGUGCCGUGAGGUGUCAGGUUAAGUCCUAUAACGAGCGCAACCCCUGUUGUUAGUUGCCAGCGAGUCAUGUCGGGAACUCUAACAAGACUGCCGGUGCAAACCGUGAGGAAGGUGGGGAUGACGUCAAAUCAUCACGGCCCUUACGUCCUGGGCUACACACGUGCUACAAUGGCAAGUACAACGAGUCGCAAUACCGCGAGGUGGAGCAAAUCUCUUAAAGCUUGUCUCAGUUCGGAUAGGAGUCUGCAACUCGACUCCUUGAAGUUGGAGUC
This 414-nucleotide ribosomal RNA is filed under the name uncultured bacterium. Its description in RNAcentral is "bacterial SSU rRNA". It matches the Rfam family "Bacterial small subunit ribosomal RNA", at positions 917 to 1333 of the family's 1533-position model. The record is from RNAcentral.